Molecule: ribosomal RNA, 460 nt
Filed under: uncultured bacterium
Lineage: Bacteria
Description: partial 16S ribosomal RNA
Rfam family: Bacterial small subunit ribosomal RNA
Source: RNAcentral
CCGACGGGAGGCAGCAGUGAGGAAUAUUGGUCAAUUUUAUAAAUCCUGAACCAUCCAAUUAUCUUUCCUUAUUACUUCCCUCCUUUUUUUCCCCUUCUUUUAUACUGGAAUAACGCGCCUUACGUGUAGGGCUUUGCAUGUACCGUAUGAAUAAGGACCGGCUAAUUCCGUGCCAGCAGCCGCGGUAAUACGGAAGGUCCGGGCGUUAUCCGGAUUUAUUGGGUUUAAAGGGAGCGUAGGCCGCAUGUCAAGCGUGCUGUGAAAUGUCCGGGCUCAACCCGGGCCUUGCAGCGCGAACUGGCGUGCUUGAGUCCGCGGAAAGCAGGCGGAAUUCGUCGUGUAGCGGUGAAAUGCUUAGAUAUGACGAAGAACCCCGAUUGCGAAGGCAGCUUGCUGCAGCGGAACUGACGCUGAUGCUCGAAAGCGCGGGUAUCGAACAGGAUUAGAUACCCCAGUAGUC